CGAGUAGCUCGUUGCAUAUCCGUCCACGUAAACCCGUCCAUUCUGCGUCGGCUGCGGAAAGCACAUUCACCAAUUGGAAUCUACAUAUAUUUUUUUUGCAGCUGUUCCAGCUCACUGUGACACCAUAUGUCUGCGGGUGUUUUAUUGAAGUACAUUAAACGUAAAUAGUCGCUGUAAAAGUCAAAAAGUGUGAAAUUUAACGUUGGUUAUUGCUUUUAAGUUCAAUUAUUGUAUCUUAAAAAAUAUAGAGUUUGCUAAAGCAAUUGUUAGUGAUUGCUGCAUGAGAAAGGCUCAUAUAUUUAUUAUAGGCGUGGUCAAGAGAACGUCAUGCCUAUCACGAAUAUAUAAUUUGUACCACAUUUAUGUAUUUAAAUAUAUUCUGAAAUAAGCUUGAAUAUGGAA
Bactrocera neohumeralis is the source of this 402-nucleotide long non-coding RNA. RefSeq lists it as uncharacterized. The transcript is spliced from 2 exons. NCBI's taxonomy places the organism in Eukaryota, Metazoa, Arthropoda, Insecta, Diptera, Tephritidae. The record is from RefSeq and is a predicted model, not a curated record.